This 279-nucleotide ribosomal RNA is filed under the name uncultured bacterium. RNAcentral describes it as "partial 16S ribosomal RNA". It matches the Rfam family "Bacterial small subunit ribosomal RNA", at positions 506 to 784 of the family's 1533-position model. The record is from RNAcentral.
UGCCAGCCGCCGCGGUAAUACGGGGGGUGCGAGCGUUAUCCGGAAUUACUGGGUUUAAAGGGUGCGUAGGUGGCUUGAUAAGUCUGGGGUGAAAGGCCAGGGCUCAACCUUGGGAUUGCCUUGGAUACUGUGGAGCUUGAAUUAGGAUGAGGUUGGCGGAAUGCGGCAUGUAGCGGUGAAAUGCUUAGAUAUGCCGUAGAACACCGAUUGCGAAGGCAGCUGACUGGACCUUGAUUGACGCUGAGGCACGAAAGCGUGGGGAGCGAACGGGAUUAGAUA